Molecule: ribosomal RNA, 468 nt
Filed under: uncultured bacterium
Lineage: Bacteria
Description: partial 16S ribosomal RNA
Rfam family: Bacterial small subunit ribosomal RNA
Source: RNAcentral
GACGAACGCUGGCGGCGUGCUUAACACAUGCAAGUCGAACGGAAAGGCCCUGCUUUUGUGGGGUGCUCGAGUGGCGAACGGGUGAGUAACACGUGAGUAACCUGCCCUUGACUUUGGGAUAACUUCAGGAAACUGGGGCUAAUACCGGAUAGGAGCUCCUGCUGCAUGGUGGGGGUUGGAAAGUUUCGGCGGUUGGGGAUGGACUCGCGGCUUAUCCGCUUGUUGUUGGGGUAGUGGCUUACCAAGGCUUUGACGGGUAGCCGGCCUGAGAGGGUGACCGGCCACAUGGGGACUGAGAUACGGCACAGACUACUACGGGAGGCAGCAGUGGGGAAGAUUGCACGAUGGGCGGAAGCCGGAUGCAGCAACGCGGCGUGCGGGAUGACGGCCUUCGGGUUGUAAACCGCUUUCGCCGGUGACGAAGCGUGAGUGACGGUAAUGGGUAAAGAAGCACCGGCUAACUACGUG